GACAGAGGUCCCGAGCGUUAGGCGGAAUCACUGGGCUUAAAGCGUGUGUAGGCGGAUGCCUAAGUACCUUGUGAAAUCCCACGGCUCACCCGUGGAACUGCUUGGUAUACUGGGUGUCUUGAGCCACUUAGGGGCUACCGGAACAAAUGGUGGAGCGGUGAAAUGCGUAGAUAUGCGGAGGAACACCGAUGGCGAAGGCAAUCCCCUGGGCCUGCACUGACGCUCAUGCACGAAAGCGUGGGGAGCAAACAGG
RNAcentral lists this ribosomal RNA (253 nucleotides) under uncultured bacterium. Its description in RNAcentral is "partial 16S ribosomal RNA". It matches the Rfam family "Bacterial small subunit ribosomal RNA", at positions 524 to 776 of the family's 1533-position model. The record is from RNAcentral.